CACGUAGGGUGCGAGCGUUGUCCGGAAUUAUUGGGCGUAAAGAGCUCGUAGGCGGUGUGUCGCGUCGGCCGUGAAAACCUGCAGCUUAACUGUGGGCGUGCGGUCGAUACGGGCAUCACUGGAGUUCGGCAGGGGAGACUGGAAUUCCUGGUGUAGUGGUGAAAUGCGUAGAUAUCGGGAGGAACACCAGUGGCGAAGGCGGCAUCCUGGACCGGCAUUGACGCUGAUGAGCGAAAGCUAGGGGAGCAAACGGG
RNAcentral lists this ribosomal RNA (254 nucleotides) under uncultured bacterium. Its description in RNAcentral is "partial 16S ribosomal RNA". It matches the Rfam family "Bacterial small subunit ribosomal RNA", at positions 524 to 776 of the family's 1533-position model. The record is from RNAcentral.